This 234-nucleotide long non-coding RNA is filed under the name Bos taurus (domestic cattle). RNAcentral describes it as "long non-coding RNA NONBTAT025594". The record is from RNAcentral. Lineage: Eukaryota; Metazoa; Chordata; Mammalia; Artiodactyla; Bovidae.
CUUGGGAGCAGAUCAUAGCUGCUAGGUUAAGAAAUUGAUUCUCCCGCAGAAACAAUGGAUUUCGGUGUAGCGGAACUGUUACGUGGAGAUGCUAAGGUAAUUGUACAUUUCAAAACACGCCGGACAAUAUUGGCUGGAAAAUGACUUGGUUAAAACCUGAUGAUCUUACCAGCAUUCUGCAGGUUGAUGAAUACUAAUGAAGCUGUGGAUGUCACUGAGCAGCUUCAUUUUAAA